This 450-nucleotide ribosomal RNA is filed under the name uncultured bacterium. RNAcentral describes it as "partial 16S ribosomal RNA". It matches the Rfam family "Bacterial small subunit ribosomal RNA", at positions 354 to 796 of the family's 1533-position model. The record is from RNAcentral.
GUGGGGAAUUUUGGACAAUGGGCGCAAGCCUGAUCCAGCAAUGCCGCGUGCAGGAUGAAGGCCUUCGGGUUGUAAACUGCUUUUGUACGGAACGAAAAGCCCUGGGUUAAUACCCUGGGGUCAUGACGGUACCGUAAGAAUAAGCACCGGCUAACUACGUGCCAGCAGCCGCGGUAAUACGUAGGGUGCGAGCGUUAAUCGGAAUUACUGGGCGUAAAGCGUGCGCAGGCGGUUUUGUAAGACAGAGGUGAAAUCCCCGGGCUCAACCUAGGAACUGCCUUUGUGACUGCAAGGCUAGAGUACGGCAGAGGGGGAUGGAAUUCCGCGUGUAGCAGUGAAAUGCGUAGAUAUGCGGAGGAACACCGAUGGCGAAGGCAAUCCCCUGGGCCUGUACUGACGCUCAUGCACGAAAGCGUGGGGAGCAAACAGGAUUAGAAACCCCAGUAGUCC